UGAAUUAAAGAUCUAAUGUCAUUCACAUAAAAUAUGGGUGAUGGAUUUAUGGGUUAGCUUGAUCAGGUUCUCCUAAUUGGGUUAGACUUAAGAUUAGAAUCAAAUAUCAAAAAGACUAAAAAGAGAAAUUUGAUUUAAUCAGGAUUUCUCUAGUCAACACAAUAGUUGUCAUUGGUCGGGUCCAUAUCUUUGAUUAGACCCAAAUGGACUU
RNAcentral lists this long non-coding RNA (211 nucleotides) under Elaeis guineensis (African oil palm). Its description in RNAcentral is "long non-coding RNA (EGUI_LNC076861)". The record is from RNAcentral. Lineage: Eukaryota; Viridiplantae; Streptophyta; Magnoliopsida; Arecales; Arecaceae.